This 488-nucleotide RNase P RNA is filed under the name Spirosoma telluris. RNAcentral's name for it is "Bacterial RNase P class A". It matches the Rfam family "Bacterial RNase P class A". From Rfam's summary of the family: Ribonuclease P (RNase P) is a ubiquitous endoribonuclease, found in archaea, bacteria and eukarya as well as chloroplasts and mitochondria. Its best characterised activity is the generation of mature 5'-ends of tRNAs by cleaving the 5'-leader elements of precursor-tRNAs. Lineage: Bacteria; Pseudomonadati; Bacteroidota; Cytophagia; Cytophagales; Cytophagaceae. The record is from Rfam by way of RNAcentral.
AAUAUGAGUUGGCUUAUCGCGUCUGAGCUAUCAGGCGAGGAAAGUCCGGGCAGCAUGGGGCACCCUACUUCCUAACGGGAAGGAGGAUGGUUGGGAACGACCAUUCGACAGCUAGUGUCACAGAAAAUAUACCGCCCGACAUUAAUGUAUAAUUGAUAAUGGAAAAUGAAUGAUGAAGGUUAUGCUGAUAUUAUUCAUUAACCAUUAUACAUUAUUCAUUAAAUCUGGUAAGGGUGAAAAGGUGGGGUAAGAGCCUACCGCCCGACGGGCGACCGGCGGGGCAGGAUAAACCUUAGGGGCUGAAAGACCAAAUAAGCGUUGGAUGUGGAGCGGCCCGUUCCCGUUCUGGAACAAUCCCAUCCGGGAACGAUCCAGAUGCCGACGCGGGUAGGUCGAACGAGGUGGCCGGUGACGUCCAUCCCAGAUAAAUGAUAGGCCAUUCUGCUUUUGCGGAAGGACAGAACCCGGCUUAUAGACUCGUAUUGGGC